Molecule: non-coding RNA, 163 nt
Organism: Enterobius vermicularis (human pinworm)
Lineage: Eukaryota; Metazoa; Nematoda; Chromadorea; Rhabditida; Oxyuridae
Source: Rfam
AAACUUACCUGGCUGGGAGGCUUCUCGCGAUCAUGAAGGCGGGACCUCCAUGGUGAGGCUUGGCCAUUGCACUUUCGGCUAGGCUGACCUGUGUGGCAUUCCCGAGUUGGGAUUGGCCAACAGCAUAAUUUUUGCGUUUGGGGGAGCGUUCGCGCUUCCCUGC